UGGCUCAGAUUGAACGCUGGCGGAAUGCUUACACAUGCAAGUCGAACGGUAGGAGGGGCAACCCUUGAGAGUGGCGAACGGGUGAGUAAUAUAUCGGAACGUGCCCAGUCGUGGGGAAUAACGUAGCGAAAGUUACGCUAAUACCGCAUACGAUCUAAGGAUGAAAGCGGGGGAUCGCAAGACCUCGCGCGAUUGGAGCGGCCGAUAUCAGAUUAGGUAGUUGGUGAGGUAAAGGCUCACCAAGCCAACGAUCUGUAGCUGGUCUGAGAGGACGACCAGCCACACUGGAACUGAGACACGGUCCAGACUCCUACGGGAGGCAGCAGUGGGGAAUUUUGGACAAUGGACGCAAGUCUGAUCCAGCCAUUCCGCGUGCAGGAUGAAGGCCCUCGGGUUGUAAACUGCUUUGUACGGAACGAAACGGUGAGCUCUAAUACAGUUUGCUAAUGACGGUACCGUAAGAAUAAGCACCGGCUAACUACGUG
This 485-nucleotide ribosomal RNA is filed under the name uncultured bacterium. RNAcentral's name for it is "bacterial SSU rRNA". It matches the Rfam family "Bacterial small subunit ribosomal RNA", at positions 20 to 507 of the family's 1533-position model. The record is from RNAcentral.